GUGUGCCUGGCUCCCUGUAUGCCAUUUGGAAAAGUUCAUCACAACAGUGAUGCCUUUAGAAAUGGCAUGCACGGAGCCAAGCAUGC
RNAcentral lists this microRNA precursor (86 nucleotides) under Lupinus angustifolius (narrow-leaved blue lupine). RNAcentral describes it as "pre miRNA mir-160". It matches the Rfam family "mir-160 microRNA precursor family". Rfam says of the family: The hairpin precursors (represented here) are predicted based on base pairing and cross-species conservation -- their extents are not known. In this case the mature sequence is excised from the 5' arm of the hairpin. Lineage: Eukaryota; Viridiplantae; Streptophyta; Magnoliopsida; Fabales; Fabaceae. The record is from Rfam by way of RNAcentral.